RNAcentral lists this unclassified non-coding RNA (240 nucleotides) under soil metagenome. Its description in RNAcentral is "partial contains 5.8S ribosomal RNA, internal transcribed spacer 2, and large subunit ribosomal RNA". The record is from RNAcentral.
AACGGUCUAUACCUGCGGUACCUGCGGAGGGAUCAUUACAGAAAUAAACUUGAUGGAUUUUCGUUGCUGGCUCUUGCAAGUGCACGUCCAUCAUUUUUAUCUUUCCACCAUGUGCACCCCCGCGUAGGUCUGGUUUUUGGGAAUUGCAAAAAUGCUCUCUCCCUAUAUAUUUUCAGGCCCUAUGCUUUUUUUUACACACCCCAUGUAUGUUAACGAACGAAAAUCAAGGGCUUUUUGCCU